This 253-nucleotide ribosomal RNA is filed under the name uncultured bacterium. RNAcentral's name for it is "partial 16S ribosomal RNA". It matches the Rfam family "Bacterial small subunit ribosomal RNA", at positions 524 to 776 of the family's 1533-position model. The record is from RNAcentral.
UACAGAGGUCCCAAGCGUUGUUCGGAUUCACUGGGCGUAAAGGGCGCGUAGGCGGUUUGACAAGUCUGAUGUGAAAUCUCUGGGCUCAACCCAGAGUCUGCAUUAGAAACUGUCGGGCUUGAGUAUGGGAGAGGUGAGUGGAAUUUCCGGUGUAGCGGUGAAAUGCGUAGAUAUCGGAAGGAACACCUGUGGCGAAAGCGGCUCACUGGACCAUAACUGACGCUGAGGCGCGAAAGCUAGGGGAGCAAACAGG